This 495-nucleotide ribosomal RNA is filed under the name uncultured bacterium. Its description in RNAcentral is "partial 16S ribosomal RNA". It matches the Rfam family "Bacterial small subunit ribosomal RNA", at positions 28 to 507 of the family's 1533-position model. The record is from RNAcentral.
GAUGAACGCUGGCGGCGUGCCUAAUACAUGCCAGUAGAACGCUGAAGGAGGAGCUUGCUCUUCUGGAUGAGUUGCGAACGGGUGAGUAACGCGUAGGUAACCUGCCUGGUAGCGGGGGAUAACUAUUGGAAACGAUAGCUAAUACCGCAUGACAACAGUUAUUGCAUGAUAACUGUUUAAAAGGGGCAACUGCUCCACUACCAGAUGGCCCUGCGUUGUAUUAGCUAGUUGGUGAGGUAACGGCUCACCAAGGCGACGAUACAUAGCCGACCUGAGAGGGUGAUCGGCCACACUGGGACUGAGACACGGCCCAGACUCCUACGGGAGGCAGCAGUAGGGAAUCUUCGGCAAUGGACGGAAGUCUGACCGAGCAACGCCGCGUGAGUGAAGAAGGGUUUCGGAUCGUAAAGCUCUGUUGUAAGAGAAGAACGAGUGUGAGAGUGGAAAGUUCACACUGUGACGGUAUCUUACCAGAAAGGGACGGCUAACUACGUG